GUGCUCGCUUCAGCAGCACAUACACUAAAGUGGAGCGAUACAGAGGAGAUUAGCAUGGCCCCUGUGCUCAGAUGACAUGCAAAUUCGUGAAGCGUUCUUUAUUUUU
Small nuclear RNA from Pteronotus mesoamericanus, 106 nucleotides. NCBI's taxonomy places the organism in Eukaryota, Metazoa, Chordata, Mammalia, Chiroptera, Mormoopidae. The record is from RefSeq and is a predicted model, not a curated record.